This 492-nucleotide ribosomal RNA is filed under the name uncultured bacterium. RNAcentral describes it as "partial 16S ribosomal RNA". It matches the Rfam family "Bacterial small subunit ribosomal RNA", at positions 29 to 507 of the family's 1533-position model. The record is from RNAcentral.
AGUGAACGCUGGCGGUAGGCCUAACACAUGCAAGUCGAACGGCAGCACAGUAAGAGCCUGCUCUUACGGGUGGCGAGUGGCGGACGGGUGAGGAAUACAUCGGAAUCUACUUUUUCGUGGGGGAUAACGUAGGGAAACUUACGCUAAUACCGCAUACGACCUACGGGUGAAAGCAGGGGAUCUUCGGACCUUGCGCGAUUGAAUGAGCCGAUGUCGGAUUAGCUAGUUGGCGGGGUAAAGGCCCACCAAGGCGACGAUCCGUAGCUGGUCUGAGAGGAUGAUCAGCCACACUGGAACUGAGACACGGUCCAGACUCCUACGGGAGGCAGCAGUGGGGAAUAUUGGACAAUGGGCACAAGCCUGAUCCAGCCAUACCGCGUGGGUGAAGAAGGCCUUCGGGUUGUAAAGCCCUUUUGUUGGGAAAGAAAAGCAGCAGGUUAAUACCCCGCUGCUCUGACGGUACCCAAAGAAUAAGCACCGGCUAACUUCGUG